UGACGGCGCGAGCAGGUGCGAAAGCAGGUCAUAGUGAUCCGGUGGUUCUGAAUGGAAGGGCCAUCGCUCAACGGAUAAAAGGUACUCCGGGGAUAACAGGCUGAUACCGCCCAAGAGUUCAUAUCGAAGCCUGCGGUAUUAGGGGUGGCGCUCAAUGAAGUCUUCGUGCCUAUUCUGCAAAAACAGUUUCCGGAAAUCGUCGACUUUUAUCUGCCGCCGG
RNAcentral lists this ribosomal RNA (220 nucleotides) under Salmonella enterica subsp. enterica serovar Anatum. RNAcentral's name for it is "partial 23S ribosomal RNA". It matches the Rfam family "Bacterial large subunit ribosomal RNA", at positions 2382 to 2651 of the family's 2925-position model. Lineage: Bacteria; Pseudomonadati; Pseudomonadota; Gammaproteobacteria; Enterobacterales; Enterobacteriaceae. The record is from RNAcentral.